UACGUAGGGGGCGAGCGUUGUCCGGAUUUAUUGGGCGUAAAGAGCGUGUAGGCGGCCAGGUAGGUCUGCUGUGAAAACUCGAGGCUCAACCUCGAGACGUCGGCGGAAACCAUCUGGCUAGAGUCCGGAAGAGGAGAGUGGAAUUCCUGGUGUAGCGGUGAAAUGCGUAGAUAUCAGGAGGAACACCGAUGGCGAAGGCAGGUCUCUGGGCUGACACUGACGCUCAUGCACGAAAGCGUGGGGAGCAAACAGG
RNAcentral lists this ribosomal RNA (253 nucleotides) under uncultured bacterium. Its description in RNAcentral is "partial 16S ribosomal RNA". It matches the Rfam family "Bacterial small subunit ribosomal RNA", at positions 524 to 776 of the family's 1533-position model. The record is from RNAcentral.